Molecule: ribosomal RNA, 670 nt
Filed under: uncultured bacterium
Lineage: Bacteria
Description: bacterial SSU rRNA
Rfam family: Bacterial small subunit ribosomal RNA
Source: RNAcentral
AAUACCGCAUAUAGCUAUAUAGUUGCAUGAUUAUGUAGUGAAAGAUUUAUUGGUAUAGGAGGAGUCUGCGGCACAUUAGCUAGUAGGUGAGGUAAAGGCUUACCUAGGCGACGAUGUGUAGCCGGUCUGAGAGGAUGAACGGCCACAAUGGAACUGAGACACGGUCCAUACUCCUACGGGAGGCAGCAGUGGGGAAUAUUGCACAAUGGGGGAAACCCUGAUGCAGCAACGCCGCGUGAGUGAAGAAGGUUUUCGGAUUGUAAAGCUCUGUUAGCAGGGAAGAGGAAGGACGGUACCUGCAGAGGAAGCCACGGCUAACUACGUGCCAGCAGCCGCGGUAAUACGUAGGUGGCAAGCGUUGUUCGGAAUAACUGGGCGUAAAGGAUGCGUAGGCGGUUAAACAAGUUAUAUGUUAAAUAUAUAGGCUUAACCUGUAGAAAGCAUAUAAAACUGUUUAACUAGAGUGCAGGAGAGGUAAGUGGAAUUCCUAGUGUAGCGGUGAAAUGCGUAGAGAUUAGGAAGAACACCAGUGGCGAAGGCGACUUACUGGACUGUAACUGACGCUGAGGCAUGAGAGCAUGGGGAGCAAACAGGAUUAGAUACCCUGGUAGUCCAUGCUGUAAACGAUGGGUACUAGGUGUGGGUUGUGAAUAACAAUUCGUGCCGUCGC